AGUACCCUUCCAAAAGUUGCCCCCAAAGCACAGGCACUCACCAGCUCAUUCAAGACACCAUCGGCCUCUGCUCUUCAAACCUCGGCCUCUUUGCUCUUGGCUGCUCUGGCUCCCCUGUAGACUGGGGCUGCCUGCUUUUUCCUGCCUGCUCUUCCCAAGCUACCAGCAACCAACUCCAGCCCCAGCCCCAGCCCCAGCCCCAGCCCCAGCUGUGUUCAGGGGAGGCUUCAGUGCAAGGAAUGGCAAGAGGCUGUGAGGGAAGGCAGGGUUUUAUUUUUUUCUUUUUAGGAUUGGGGGUGGGGUGUUGGAGCAGUUUUGCUCUCUCAGGACAAAGUGACCCUCCCCCAACAGAGUGGUCCCUCUAUUAGGUGUCUUUAGAAGCUGGGUUCCAGGGGCCACAAUCCUGUUUGCUAUCCUGUCAUGGUGGGUACCAUUGUCUGGGGAGAAAACAAAGUUUGGAGAAUUCAUAUAUUCUCAGAGCACAUAAGCAAGGGGUGCCCUUUGUAAUAACCCUUUAAUCAUAUGCUUGAGCUGGAGUUGGACUCCAAUUUGGGGCAACAAUACUUUCUAGAAAGCUUGGCUGGGGUGAGACACAUUGCUUGGUGCAUCCAUAUCUCCAACUGGAGGAAGAUGAGCUGGGAUGCAGACUCCAGGAAUUGAGGGCAAGUUCACUCUCUUCCCUCAAGAAUUUCCUCUCUCAAGAAGACUAAGACCUCCAAAACACAUCAUUCUGAAAUUGUUCCCACUUUCCAGCUUCUUUGUGAGCAAAAAGGAAGCUUAAGCCUCAGAAAAGAGCCCUGAGUCCCCUCCUUACCCAGCAUUUAGGAGUCACCAGAGAUUAGGGAAAACUCCCCAGACAGCAACCCACAAACCUGAAACUUUGUCUGCUGGAACAUCUCACCCUUGCUGCAGGACGCGAGCUAUAAGCCCAAACGUUCUUCGUUCUUCUUCCUCUAACUUUUCCCCUAAACUAAGGGCUCUCUGGGUUCCUCUCUUGUUGCAGAGAGGCAUUCCGGCAAAGCCAGGGCCAGAGAGUAGGAACCAGGAGGGCGGCAGUCAGAGCCCAGUGUCUGCACAGCUUGGAUCUUAAGAACAGCCCAGGGCUGUGACUUUU
RNAcentral lists this long non-coding RNA (1114 nucleotides) under Marmota monax (woodchuck). The record is from RNAcentral. Lineage: Eukaryota; Metazoa; Chordata; Mammalia; Rodentia; Sciuridae.